This 3070-nucleotide long non-coding RNA is filed under the name Panax ginseng (ginseng). RNAcentral describes it as "long non-coding RNA (PGIN_LNC012577)". Lineage: Eukaryota; Viridiplantae; Streptophyta; Magnoliopsida; Apiales; Araliaceae. The record is from RNAcentral.
UUUCAUCCCGGAAAAUGCAGAAUUUAGGCAUUUGGUGGAUACUUUUGAGACCAACUCAGAUAGCUGGACCUUCGCAGCCUCUAGUCCAACUGUGCCCAAAUUUUGUCUUCCAAGCGUAUCUUGCGCUUUCUCCAGCACCGCUUGCAGGUAUUUCCCUUGAGCUUCUAUUCGUAGCUGUAAAUGUCGUUGUACCUAUCAGUUCAGAAUUAAAUGUGAUUUAAAAUGUUGUUCAAAAAUUGUUUGAGAACUUUGGGUGGAAUUAGAACUUGAAAGAAGUGAAUAAAUUUUAAUUGUUUGAAUUGUAUAUUGGCUGCAUAAAAUGCAUAUAUAAUUUUAUAUGCUAUGUAUGCUCAAUCUCAAAGUUACUAGAUGAAUAGUUGUAGCCAUCAAAUAUGUUUGAAAUUUUUCUUUUUCUUUUUACUCUGGAGAUUUCUUGUGAAAUAUUCUGAUGUUUAAAAAGAAAUACUAUUAUCUGAUAAUUGUGCAGCGUAUUGUACCUCAAGCUGCUCAUGUAGCCGUCUCUGCACUUCAAUUUGCAUCUGUAUUGCUUCACUUAUAUGUAAACUUCAAUAUAGAACAUCUUGUAGUUAGAGUACAAUCUUUGAAAUAUUAAAUUAUGAAAUAUAAAAUAAUUAAGAAAAAGUAUGAUAAUGCUCUUGCGCUCAUACUUAUUAUUUGUUUGAGGUCCAAUGCUUGAAUUACUCGUGUGAAUUGUUCCAGUUGAUUCAGGGAUCCUUUCUCCCGCCAUUGCAACCAUUCCUACAUUAGCAAAUCAUUGUUAUGUUCUACCCCCCAAAACUGAUGUAUAAUAUGAUGUGUCCAUUGAUAUAUUAAAAUCAUACCAGUUUUGUUUGUCCCAGUAUUUGCUUGUCCUGGUAGAUUUUUGCUGAGCCUGUACUUCUGCCAGCCAAAAAACAAGAGUUAAUGAAAAGAUAGGACAAUGCAUGUAUUUUCAUAAAACCGCAAACCUUUCCUUCCAUUUGACACAUCAAUUGGCAACCAUAGGAUAUACCCCGGAUGGCCUGAAGUUUAAUAUGAAGAAACUUUCUAAACUAAUCAUGGGUAAAAUAUAUACCUGAAGAUGACUUUUUAGGUGGUAUAAGGUAAGUCCUUGAAUCCCCAUUAGUUUCAAAACUGAUUUAGGAGUAGCCUCUGCAAAAUAGAAGAGUAGACACUUCAAUAGGUAAAUAAUAGUAAAAACUUUGCAUGGUGCUAUGAAACUUUAACUUAGUUUUUUGCACUCACUAUCAGCUCCUCCAAGCUGAUUGACGGCUUCUAUAAACCGCUCGUGAAGGUCUGGUGUCCAUUUCAAUCUAGGCUUUGCAUCAGUUGAAAGUACAAGUCCCGAAUCUCCUGUAGCAUUCCCACCUUGCAGGAACAAAUGUCUUUCUGGCGUGGACAUUCUUGAAGAAGGUUGGAUAUUAUUUGCUUGAUACUGUUGUUGAUGAUACAUUUUGCCUUCAAAAUGAUUGCUUUAUGAUUAGCUUCAUGGUACUACUGCUACACAAUAAUAUGUCCCUACGUAUGAAAAGUUGUGGGUUUACCUGCACUCUUAGUUCUGCUCACCGCUGAAUUGUGAAAUUUGAUUCUUCUGAUACUUGGUAAAAUAGAAAAAAUGUUGUCUAGUACAACAGCUCAAAAAUGUUGUCUACUACAACAGCUCUUAUCUAUUACCUCUCUUAUUGACCAAUUCUCUGACAAACCAAGGGUGUGCUCAAGCACGUCCUUAUAAAGAAAAUGGAGAAAGGAUUGUGGGGGAGGUGAGGAGAGGGAGAGUCUUACGAAGGCAUAGAAUCUUGGAAAGACCGAAUAUUGAAUGGAACACACAGCCCAAUCCAAUAUUCACAGCAACUCAUAAAGAGAUCUUGUCCUUCCAGUACUAAGCAUCUGUGGGACCUAUUCCUAAGCUCCACUUUCCAUUCUCAGUUAGCACUAUCAGUCUAAAUAUAUAUCUUCCUGCAACGCUUAACACCUUACCAUAGAUACAAGAAUAGAUCCACCAGUCGUUUCUGUGCAUUCAGAUUCGUCAUCUGGGGAAGUUGGGGAAUCUUAUUCCCAGAUUUAAGAGUAUAAUUUUCUGACCUGGACAGGGAGAAUCCACUAUCUCUAUUGUGUUUAAAACCUUCAAAGCCAUCUUCUAAAACUCCUAUCACAUUGUUCUUUUUACCACCUUGGACUUGCAGUUGUAUUUUCUUAUAUUAUCACAGUAGUACCUUUUAAAUUCAGUUGAAUUGCAAUUAAAGAUUCGUUUUAAGUUUGUUUAAUUACGAGGGUGCAGACAAGCGGAAAAGAAAACUCAAGUGGUUUGUUUUUGUAGGAGAAGAUUCUGUUGACUGGAGCAUUUGGAACUUGGAAUUGGAUACAUACAAGAGAAAGGUAGAAAAAAUUGUGAAAGAUGCUCCUCCUUAAGAUUGUCUAAAGGGCCAAGAAUGGAAUAAGGAAUACAUUCAUUGUUGUCUCCUUCCAUAAGUUUGGUACUUAUUCAGCCUAGACAGAAUUUAGAUAGAUUGGAAGAGGGCCCCAAUUAAACCUUUUCUAUUCUUCAAUUGGUACAAGGAAGAUGGCCCCACAUUGAAGCUGCUGGGACCCUCUCAAUUGAAAUUAAUGGAUUGUACUUUCUCAAUACUUGCAUUUGAUGAAAAGCAUGACAAGUCGUGGCCUGGUGAGGACCAUUUCCUUUCCCUUGACUCGAGCUUCGUUUGGCUUUGCAGAUUCUUGGGUAUGAAUCUACUACCUACUUGCUUGUUGUAUAUGUUUAAUGAUUGCUUUUUUUCUUUCUUUAUUAUUUGCACAGUAGAUUAAAUCUCGUCAGUUGUAAGGCAUGCGUCUAUAUGACAUACAAAUAGACGAUAUCCUGUAUAUAGUGAAUACAACUUUACAACACUGCAUGAACAUAUGUAUAUUUGUGCUAAUUCAUAAUAAUUGAUAACAUGUGCAUUCUGAAAAGUCAACUGUUAAUUAUAAUUUAUAUACAUCUAAACAUGAAUACACAGAGUAAAUUUAUGCUAUAAAUGGUAUCUCAUAUAGUAGUUGAUUUAUGUGAAUUCUAAGCAAAAAGAGUCCUGCAGAC